GACGAACGCUGGCGGCGUGCCUAAUACAUGCAAGUCGAACGAGAGCGACCGGUGCUUGCACUGGUCAAUCUAGUGGCGAACGGGUGAGUAACACGUGGGUAACCUGCCCAUCAGAGGGGGAUAACAUCCGGAAACGGAUGCUAAAACCGCAUAGGUCUUCGAGCCGCAUGGCUUGAAGAGGAAAAGAGGCGCAAGCUUCUGCUGAUGGAUGGACCCGCGGUGCAUUAGCUAGUUGGUGAGGUAACGGCUCACCAAGGCCGUGAUGCAUAGCCGACCUGGGAGGGUGAUCGGCCACAUUGGGACUGAGACACGGCCCAAACUCCUACGGGAGGCAGCAGUAGGGAAUCUUCCGCAAUGGACGCAAGUCUGACGGAGCAACGCCGCGUGAGUGAAGAAGGUUUUCGGAUCGUAAAACUCUGUUGUUAGAGAAGAACAAGUGCUAGAGUAACUGUUAGCGCCUUGACGGUAGCUAACCAGAAAGCCACGGCUAACUACGUG
This 498-nucleotide ribosomal RNA is filed under the name uncultured bacterium. Its description in RNAcentral is "partial 16S ribosomal RNA". It matches the Rfam family "Bacterial small subunit ribosomal RNA", at positions 28 to 507 of the family's 1533-position model. The record is from RNAcentral.